Non-coding RNA from Desmophyllum pertusum, 73 nucleotides. Lineage: Eukaryota; Metazoa; Cnidaria; Anthozoa; Scleractinia; Caryophylliidae. The record is from the annotation of a GenBank genome assembly.
UGCCUCGUAGCUCAGUCGGCAGAACAACGGAGAUCUAAUCCGUAGAUUGUCGUUCGAAUCUCAUCGAGGUCAA